This 439-nucleotide long non-coding RNA is filed under the name Rhinopithecus roxellana (golden snub-nosed monkey). RNAcentral's name for it is "lncRNA (ENSRROG00000045873.1)". Lineage: Eukaryota; Metazoa; Chordata; Mammalia; Primates; Cercopithecidae. The record is from RNAcentral.
AGAUAAGCUACAGCAAGUCGUUACUUGUCCUGAAUGCACAACCUUCUUUCUUUGAGCAAGAGGACAAACCUGGGUAGGGAUCUCUAUGAUCUUUUCUGUGUUGCCUGUGGACGUUCAUCUUUCUGAUUUGUUAGCUGAAGAUGAGGAUCUGGAGCAGGAGUUUGGAGUGCCAUUGUUCCAUGGGCAGAAGUUCGGCAGAGAUUAUGGUCACAGCCUCUUGGUCUAGUAGAAAAGUCUACCCGAAGCCUCUGAGAGGCCCAACAUAAUCAGGGACCACAGGAAACAGUACAGCAGUAACAAUGAGAAGGGGAUGGAGUGCUGUGGGACUCAGCAAGUGAAAGUGAAGAAACUUCAGGUCCUGGAAUGUGGAAUCCAGGUGAGCCACAGGCUUGAAGUCGGAGUUCCAGGGCUAGACCGACUAAGAACUGGAGAGGCUGGG